AGAUGAAGAGAUGAGGAGAUUUGCAAACUUUUUUAGUUUCGAAAGAAAAAGAAAAGCAGUAUUGGUCGGGUUCUAGGGUUAAGAGAGCUUUCUUCAGUCCACUCAUGGGUGGCGGUAGGGUUUAAUUAGCUGCCGACUCAUUCAUUCAAAUAUUGAGUCCAAAAAUUUCAAAUCUCAAAUGGAUUCACUAAACGAUUGAAUGAUGCGGGAGACAAAUUGAACCUUAAGCUUCCUGUACUUGGACUGAAGGGAGCUCCCUUUUCUUUCUAUCUUUUCCUUUUCUUCAUCCUCGAGAUCGAGAUCUCUAUCGUAUAGCUUAAUUGAUUAAACAUAUGUAUUUGUUAAAAGCUUACAAUACCCACUUUCUCGAUUCUUCUUCUUAAUCAGACGUUCAAAGACUUGCCGUCGACAUAGCUCAGGUCAGAAGGUCAGGGUUCAAAAUAUAUAUUCAUCGUUAUUGAACUCAAUAUAUUGUAAUUUUCUUUUAAUAAUUUUGUUUUGUUCUCAUUAGGAUAAAAGGGAGAAGAUUAAGAUCUCUACAUGAUCCUAAGCUCAAAUACUGCUUUCUCGAUUGCAUUGAGUAUGUUAAAAUAGAAUAAUAUUACUAUUUUCUCCUGUUAUAGAAGAAGAUCAAGAUCUCUUCCACUGCCAUCAUAGUUUAAUGGUUAAGCCAUUAUAAACUCAGUUAUUGGAGGAAAAUUUGAAGACCCAUUUGAAUGAUUACAUAAUUAUGUCAGAAAAAAUUAUUAAAAUCCUUUUUUUCUUCUUUCAAUUAGUAGUGAUGGAGAGCCUGGACUCAGAUUUGUGCAGAGAUGACCCAUUUGAAGUAAAUUUCAGAAUGAAAUGGGGAACAAAGGAUGGAGAUGAAGUAUAACAUCUUUGAUCUCUUGCUCGUAGAAAAUCUCUACUUGUACUUGAUGACAUAACUUAACACAAAAAUGGCAAUUAAAUCCUCAUUUAAUUCGAUUA
Molecule: long non-coding RNA, 969 nt
Organism: Cucumis melo (muskmelon)
Lineage: Eukaryota; Viridiplantae; Streptophyta; Magnoliopsida; Cucurbitales; Cucurbitaceae
Exons: 2
Source: RefSeq, a predicted model, not a curated record